AGUGGAUGGGGAGCAACCUAGUUGUGCGUGUGUAAAGGUAGUGCCAAGAAAAGCGGUGAUCAUGAUGAAAAUCAAUUCCCGGUACCCGAAACCGACACAGGUGGGCAAGUAGAGAAUACUAAGGGGCGCGAGGUAACUCUCUCCAAGGAACUCGGCAAAAUGACCCCGUAACUUAGGGAGAAGGGGUGCCACCGAGAGGUGGUCGCAGUGAAGAGGCCCAGGCGACUGUUUAGCAAAAACAUAGGUCUCUGCAAACUCGAAAGAGGAGGUAUAGGGGCUGACGCCUGCCCAGUGCCGGAAGGUUAAAGAAGUUGGUCAGUCUUAGGAUGAAGCUAGCGACUGAAGCCCCGGUGAACGGCGGCCGUAACUAUAACGGUCCUAAGGUAGCGAAAUUCCUUGUCGGGUAAGUUCCGACCCGCACGAAAGGCGUAACGAUCUGGGCGCUGUCUCGGAGAGAGGCUCGGCGAAAUAGGAUUGUCUGUGAAGAUACGGACUACCUGCAUUUGGACAGAAAGACCCUAUGAAGCUUUACUAUAGCUUGGAAUUGUGUUCGGGCUUCCUGUGCGCAGGAUAGGUGGGAGGCGUAGAAGGUAUUCUUGUGGGGAUACUGGAGCCAACGGUGAGAUACCACUCUCAGGAGGCUAGAAUUCUAACUUAAUUAAGGACAGUUUCAGGUGGGUAGUUUGACUGGGGCGGUCGCCUCCAAAAAGGUAACGGAGGCGUACAAAGGUUCCCUCAGACUGGUUGGAAAUCAGUCGAAGAGUGCAAAGGCAGAAGGGAGCUUGACUGCGAGAAGUACAGUUCGAGCAGGGUGGAAACACGGUCUUAGUGAUCCGACGGUGCUGUGUGGAAGGGCCGUCGCUCAACGGAUAAAAGUUACUCUAGGAUAACAGGCUGAUCUCCCCCAAGAGUUCACAUCGACGGGGAGGUUUGGCACCUCGAUGUCGGCUCAUCGCAACCUGGGGCGGAAGUACGUCCCAAGGGUUGGGCUGUUCGCCCAUUAAAGCGGUACGUGAGCUGGGUUCAGAACGUCGUGAGACAGUUCGGUCCAUAUCCGAUGUAGGCGUGAGAAUAUUGAGAGGAGCCUUCCUUAGUACGAGAGGACCGGGAAGGACGCACCGCUGGUGUACCUGUUAGGAUGCCAAUUGUAAACGCAGGGUAGCCAAGUGCGGAGAGGAUAACCGCUGAAAGCAUCUAAGUGGGAAGCCCACCUCAAGAUGAGUAUUCUGGUGUAAGGUCACGGGAAGACGACCCGUAAAUAGGCACGAGGUGGAAGUGCAGAGAUGUAUGAAGCCGAAGUGUACUAAUAGACCGUCGGCUUGACC
This 1325-nucleotide ribosomal RNA is filed under the name metagenome. Its description in RNAcentral is "bacterial LSU rRNA". It matches the Rfam family "Bacterial large subunit ribosomal RNA", at positions 1561 to 2925 of the family's 2925-position model. The record is from RNAcentral.